UUCCGUAGGGGGACCUGCGGAGGGAUCAUUACCGAGUUAUACAACUCAUCAACCCUGUGAACAUACCUAUAACGUUGCCUCGGCGGGAACAGACGGCCCCGUAACACGGGCCGCCCCCGCCAGAGGACCCCCUAACUCUGUUUCUAUAAUGUUUCUUCUGAGUAAACAAGCAAAUAAAUUAAAACUUUCAACAACGGAUCUCUUGGCUCUGGCAUCGAUGAAGAACGCAGCGAAAUGCGAUAAGUAAUGUGAAUUGCAGAAUUCAGUGAAUCAUCGAAUCUUUGAACGCACAUUGCGCCCGCCAGUAUUCUGGCGGGCAUGCCUGUUCGAGCGUCAUUACAACCCUCAGGCCCCCGGGCCUGGCGUUGGGGAUCGGCGGAAGCCCCCUGCGGGCACAACGCCGUCCCCCAAAUACAGUGGCGGUCCCGCCGCAGCUUCCAUUGCGUAGUAGCUAACACCUCGCAACUGGAGAGCGGCGCGGCCACGCCGUAAAACACCCAACUUCUGAAUGUUGACCUCGAAUCAGGUAGGAAUACCCGCUGAACUUAAGCAUAUCAAAGGCCCGGAGGAA
RNAcentral lists this ribosomal RNA (571 nucleotides) under Fusarium solani. Its description in RNAcentral is "eukaryotic LSU rRNA". The stretch from base 183 to 336 matches the Rfam family "5.8S ribosomal RNA". The record is from RNAcentral. Lineage: Eukaryota; Fungi; Ascomycota; Sordariomycetes; Hypocreales; Nectriaceae.